Molecule: ribosomal RNA, 118 nt
Filed under: Klebsiella pneumoniae
Lineage: Bacteria; Pseudomonadati; Pseudomonadota; Gammaproteobacteria; Enterobacterales; Enterobacteriaceae
Description: partial 23S ribosomal RNA
Rfam family: Bacterial large subunit ribosomal RNA (bases 1-106)
Source: RNAcentral
AAGUCUCCUGAAGGAACGUUGAAGACGACGACGUUGAUAGGCCGGGUGUGUAAGCGCAGCGAUGCGUUGAGCUAACCGGUACUAAUGAACCGUGAGGCUGAACCUUACAACGCCGAAG